Molecule: non-coding RNA, 31 nt
Filed under: Rattus norvegicus (Norway rat)
Lineage: Eukaryota; Metazoa; Chordata; Mammalia; Rodentia; Muridae
Source: RNAcentral
UGCAGCCCCCAAGUUUGUUGGGAUUACAGGA